This 855-nucleotide long non-coding RNA is filed under the name Heterocephalus glaber (naked mole-rat). RNAcentral's name for it is "lncRNA (ENSHGLG00100046583.1)". The record is from RNAcentral. Lineage: Eukaryota; Metazoa; Chordata; Mammalia; Rodentia; Bathyergidae.
CACUGUCAAAGGACAUCAAGUCCUCUUCUUUGUCUGACAAAGAAGUCGUGGUCUCAACGGGCCUGGGCCCCGGCGCCAUAUUGGCCCGGGAGACUGCGUCAGAAUCACUGGCGGGUGUCAGCCCCUUACCAUCUCGGAGAGCUACCUCCCCAGCCUGUAUAGCCUGCGCCACCAGUGGAUCCCUCGCUUUAUGAGAAAUAAUAUCAUUAAUCAAAUUCCAAUAUGAGAACGCCGCAAUAGGGACCUUCCUGGGUCCGCAAGUGGCAUAAUAAUCCUGGAGAGCUUCCCCCACCUUUUUCCAUCUCUGUUCAUCAAUGGUUCCCUCAGCAGGGAACCAGGGACAGAGAUCUUUAAUAUAAUCAAAAAAUCUUAACAACUGUUUGACUGUAACCUUUACCCCUCCUGCCUGUAAUGUCUUCUUGAGACCUUGCACAAACAAUUCGUGCUGACUAAUGCCCUGUCCCAUAAUCGCUGCUCAACUUACCGAGGUGCAAAAAGACGGCAGGUCCACGUCAAUUGCAAGGCUCUCCCGUGUCAAGUGUGCUCUUUGUUCCUCAAUCUUAAUCUUAGGGCCCCUGAGCAGCGUCCUUCACUGGAUCCCCCGUUCUCUGGCCGCACGUUGGGCGCCACUUGUCCCGGCCCGCGGAACAAAAUAUUCAUCUGCAAAACAACCGCUGGAAACAGACUGGAGUUUGAUACCUGUGGGACAGUAUGGCUGCAUUGUAAUUAAAAUUCUGACAGAUGACAAUGGUAAGUCUACUUCAGGCAUCUGACUGAAGUUGCAAUAGACACUGAUUUUUAAAUCCCAUUUGCAGAUAAAUUUUGCUCAGAGCUACCAGAUACCUGUAUUAGAAU